Zingiber officinale is the source of this 239-nucleotide long non-coding RNA. RefSeq lists it as uncharacterized. Lineage: Eukaryota; Viridiplantae; Streptophyta; Magnoliopsida; Zingiberales; Zingiberaceae. The record is from RefSeq and is a predicted model, not a curated record. The transcript is spliced from 3 exons.
GGCACAGCCGAGCCCUCUCCCGAUCUCCCAUACUUUGUGCCCUAGCAGUGGUUGAAGUGGAGGAUGUUUCGGUCGCGAGGCAACUGUAGAGUCCUCAGAUUUGGGAGGGACAGUGAUUUCAUCUACGCUGGCAGAGAGUUAUACCAGCUAUACCUCAUUGGUGGAGCCAUCAAUUCUGGAUUUGAGUUGGAUGCGAUCUCUUGGACUUAUUGAGGACGGUUGAUACGACAUGCGUAUGA